This 460-nucleotide ribosomal RNA is filed under the name uncultured bacterium. RNAcentral's name for it is "partial 16S ribosomal RNA". It matches the Rfam family "Bacterial small subunit ribosomal RNA", at positions 338 to 795 of the family's 1533-position model. The record is from RNAcentral.
CCUACGGGAGACAGCAGUGAGGAAUAUUUGUCAAUGGGCGCUAGCCUGAACCAGCCAAGUAGCGUGAAGGAUGACUGCCCUCUGGGUUGUAAACUUCUUUUAUAAAGGCAUAAAGCGCAGCACGUAUACCUUUUUGCAUGUACUUUAUGAAUAAGGAUCGGCUAACUCCGUGCCAGCAGCCGCGGUAAUACGGAGGAUCCGAGCGUUAUCCGGAUUUAUUGGGUUUAAAGGGAGCGUAGAUGGGUUGUUAAGUCAGUUGUGAAAGUUUGCGGCUCAACCGUAAAAUUGCAAUUGAUACUGGCAGCCUUGAGUACAGUAGAGGUAGGCGGAAUUCGUGGUGUAGCGGUGAAAUGCUUAGAUAUCACGAAGAACCCCGAUUGCGAAGGCAGCCUACUAAACUGUGACUGACACUGAUGCUCGAAAGUGUGGGUAUCAAACAGGAUUAGAUACCCUAGUAGUC